Molecule: long non-coding RNA, 865 nt
Filed under: Fukomys damarensis (Damara mole-rat)
Lineage: Eukaryota; Metazoa; Chordata; Mammalia; Rodentia; Bathyergidae
Description: lncRNA (ENSFDAG00000024758.1)
Source: RNAcentral
CAUUGUAGUAUAUUGUUGUGAUCAUCUAUUUUAUUAUUGUUCAUCUUACUGACCCUAAUUUAUAAAUUUGUCACAGGUAUCUAUGUACAUAUGUAUAGGAAAAAACACAGUACAUAUGUAUCAGAAAAGACAUAGUACUUCUUGGUGCUCUGCAGUUUGAGGCAUCCACAGAAGUUCUUGGAGAGUAUCGCCUAUGAGAAAGAAGAGCCAUCUCUGUGGAAAGGUUGGACAUUACAAGAAGUAUAGGAAGAAGAUGAGACACAGUGGGGCCUUGUCACUUGGGGCUUGGGCAGUGACCCUUAUGGUCAGGGAAUCUUUGUCAUCACUUAUGCCAACUACAGCAGAAGUAGUGGAAGAUAUCCCAGCAUUGGUCAGGGUCCUUGAUAGUGCUGGAGCUGGCAUCCAUUGGCUUUGUGAGAGUCUCUUCAAGCCAGGUGAGGACUGAAGAUGAAGUCCCUAACCAUGAACACAAACUUGCCAGGGAGAUUUCUCCAGAGAAGAAAACUAAGUUUCUAGUUUCACUUUUAAAACACAUUUAUUUUUUGUUGUAAAUAGCUUAAGUAUAGUCUUAAAGCUUUGAAAUAAAUUAAAAAUCAUUUAUAAUGCCACUAUGUACAUUUCCUUUCUUCUUCCCUUUAUAAAUGGAUUUUAUCUACACAGCUAUCAUCACAGACUGCUAUAUUAGUUAUCAAUUGCUGCAUGAGAGACCACCCCAAAACAUAGUGACAGCAGUGGCUCUUGAUUCUCCUGAGAGGUUCUUUUGGGUUGGACUGAUCUCAAAUGCACUCGCUCAUGCACCUGAGGUCAUUUGACCUUAGAUAGUAUUGUAGUCAAGAUUUGCAAGGGAAUAGAUUUAAUACGGAAC